UCUGAGUAUGACCUUAGGCCACCUGCCUUGCCCCUUCAGCUGGCUGAGGGCUGUAGUGGGGCCUAACUCUGUUUUAUAAGGUAGCUGGAUAAACAGCUGAAACCCUGAUUAAAGAAGUAAGAGCCCCAAAUACAAAACCUUUCAAGAUAACAAUAUAGGACGGGGCUCCUUCACUUACUCUUUCAAAGAUUUGUUUGUCACCUACUGUUACUGAACCAAACUUGGGUCCACUUGCCCUUGCACGGUAAAGCCAAUCUACUGACACUGGUCUGUGAUGAAGGAAGGUGCAGCGUUUAUUGCAGGAUGCCAAACAAGGAGUCUAGGCAGCUAGUGCUUAAAAAACCCAAACUCCCCAAAGGCUUUCAGGGAAAGGUUUUUAAAGACAGGGUGAGGGAGAGGGUUGAGGGGUGUGUGGUCAGCUCAUGGACAUUCUUCUGAUGGGUUGGUGGUGAGGUAAUUGGGAGUCAACAUCAUCAACCUUCUGGUUCCUACGGGUCUAGGGUCUAUGUGCUGGUGGUCAGCAUAGAGUUAACUUCUUCCCGCUGGUGAGGUUUUCAGUGUCUGCAAAACAGCUCAAAGGACAUGGCUCAGAAUACUACCUAUAGCCCUUGAGAAGGAACUAAAGUUCCCUGACUGUUUAAUGGCUAAACUAUUAUUAUUUUGUCUUGCUUGACUGUUUUCCUUUGUUUCUGAAUUUUCUCACUUCUCUGAUUAAAUUUAUUCUUUGGAACUCAGGGAAGGCCUGGGAGCCCAAAGUUUUACUACAAACAAGAGGCAGGUGGAGGACAUGGGGGGGUCUGUACUGGGAAGGCCCCAUAGGGUACUGCUUGGUUACAUUACUAUGUGCUAAGCAUUUUUCUAGAUACAGCAGUGAACAAAGCACAAGAGACCUCAGCCUCAUGGAACUCAAAUCCCUGUCCUUGUGGAGCGACACAGACAACACAUAAAGGCCCCACCCAAGAAGGAGGCUUUUCUCCCUGUGUUCCAGGAAAGGGCUCACUUGAUUUCUUCCAGGUCCAAAGGGGAAACUGGCCCUUCAAAAAUAUUAUCCGAGCCGCUACAUGAUCUCCAGGAGCACGCUUGAAUGGGUGUAUAUAUGUAUCUAUUGAGCUACCUAUGGCUCUGAACCCCGCUUUGGCCAUCUUUCAAUGGGCGGUUGGAACAACUUGCUUCCCAGUGAGAGCACCUGCCCCAGUGAUUGACAGACGCCAGGGGAAGGGCCACAUCCAUCUCAAAGAACAUCAGUCAGGUCUGCCCACCUAGCAGUUUCAAGUUGGAAGGAGGCUGGGGACUGGUAACAUGGCCAUAUGGGGAGAAGGUGCAGUCUUUCCAACUCUGCACACUAGGUGUGCUUGCUUGCCCUGCAGACCAGUGCACACCGGGCAACUGUUAUUCCCUCACCUAAGAAGUGAGAUGAGGCACAGCUGAAUUCAGAACUAGCUCCAAAGAGCUGCUCUGAAGAUGGAGGAGUCUUGGACUUGGGGGUGACACUGACCUUUGGCUAGGCUGUGCCUGUGCUGACAGAGAUGGAGCCAAGACUCAGCAACUGAGUGGAGAGAGAGCCGAAGCUUCAAGGCAAGGGCCUUACGCAAAGGAUCUAACCAUCUUUUGUCUGGUGGGACUGUCAACAUUUCUGUUUAUAACUGAUGCAUUUGUACAACCGGGACACAUUUAGAGGGGGAAACACCCUUUAUCCAAAUAUUCAAGAACUAUAGAAAAAUGAACAUCUUACU
Non-coding RNA from Kogia breviceps (pygmy sperm whale), 1733 nucleotides. The record is from RefSeq and is a predicted model, not a curated record. NCBI's taxonomy places the organism in Eukaryota, Metazoa, Chordata, Mammalia, Artiodactyla, Physeteridae.